GUGCUCACUUCGGCAGCACAUAUACUAAAAUUGGAAUGAUACAGAGAAGAUUAGCAUGGCCCCUGUGCAAGGAUGACACGAAAAUUCGUGAAGCGUUUUUUUUUUUU
RNAcentral lists this small nuclear RNA (107 nucleotides) under Castor canadensis (American beaver). Lineage: Eukaryota; Metazoa; Chordata; Mammalia; Rodentia; Castoridae. The record is from RNAcentral.